This 255-nucleotide ribosomal RNA is filed under the name uncultured bacterium. RNAcentral describes it as "partial 16S ribosomal RNA". It matches the Rfam family "Bacterial small subunit ribosomal RNA", at positions 524 to 777 of the family's 1533-position model. The record is from RNAcentral.
GACGAACCGUGCGAACGUUGUUCGGAAUCACUGGGCUUAAAGGGCGCGUAGGCGGGCUGCCAAGUCUGGGGUGAAAUCCUCCGGCUCAACCGGAGCAGGGCCUCGGAUACUGGCGGCCUGGAGGGGGGUAGGGGCGUGCGGAACUGUGGGUGGAGCGGUGAAAUGCGUUGAGAUCCACAGGAACUCCGGUGGCGAAGGCGGCACGCUGGACCCCAACUGGACGCUGAGGCGCGAAAGCCAGGGGAGCGAACGGGG